GGCGUGCAGCCCAGCCUGCCUUUGUUGGUGCUGCAGUGCAGAGAGAGCCUGCAGUUAUUGGGGUAGCCAACCUCCACAGCCCCUGACAUGCUUUGCUCCUCUAGGAGACAGUAAUACAUUACAGUCCGGUCACCCUCCUGUGGCAGGGGCAGCGCCUGGGAGGGACAGGCUGCCUCCUGACUGACAGCUGAUGAGCAUGGCUCCUCCUGGAAGCCUUGGCUCCAGGGCCUAAUCAAGAGACAAGAGCUGCAGCAGACUCUGAGUGUCCCCGCCACAAACAGCUCAGAGUGCCACAUUGUUGCUAUAGAGGCAGUAAGAGUGCUGUGGAUACCAGCCUAGAAUCCAGAGCCAGACUGUCUUGGAUCAAACUCCCAAUCUUCUCCUAACUAAAUGUGUAAUCUUUGUGCUUUAUGGGAUGCACUGCAGUACCCAGAUGCCCGACACACAAUUCAAGGAUGGGUGCAAGCUUCCUGUCUACUUUGUCAAUGUUUGCGUACAUCCAUAAGAAGAAUGCUUUAAAAUGAGAAAAACUGCAGCACUGGAAAAUGUAAAACCAGCACAAAGAGGCCCCUGCUUCGUCCUUACAUAGGUAUCCCCACCAAAGUUCACUGAAUUUAUCUUUCUACCAGUGGCUUCUUCUGAGUUUGAAUUGAUGAGAUUUAAGCUGGGACUAGCUCUUAAAGUGUAUGGAUUUCUAUGAGAGUCGCCUAAAUGCCAGGGGAUGUCCUAAUCAGCAGAGUGCCACACAAUCAGCCAGUGCUAGAACUGGCAGAAGGCAUACUCGCCCUCAGAGAGGCAGUCACAGCUGCUGAGUCCUGUGGGGACCAUCUCGCAAGUGUUCAGCAGCAUGUCCAGGGUUUGGUAUAUCUUGCAGGGGUCUGCUUCAUUAGUCCUGACUGGCAGAUUCAGAAUGCAGAGAGGUCAGGCAGCCCCACCGGAACCGGGAUUCAGGAAUAUAGAGCAUGUCCCUGCUGGGCUCUAACUGCAGAGAGGCCAGAGCAGGGGCAUCAAGAGAGGGACUAUUCUCUGCUGCUGCUCAGCCAGCAGUGCAGAAGCUUCCAGAUCCUUCAUCCAAGUUGCUGGUUCCUGGUAUACCAGCAGUCCCAGAGCACCCAUGUUCUUCUAUUCUAUGGCUCAUCACUGUGGCCCCUCUUUAUUGUAAUGCUUCUUUAAUUCUCUUUCUCUCUCUAAGUACCAUAAAGGCAAGAUACUAUGUCCAUGUUAUUGAC
Long non-coding RNA from Bos taurus (domestic cattle), 1229 nucleotides. Lineage: Eukaryota; Metazoa; Chordata; Mammalia; Artiodactyla; Bovidae. The record is from Ensembl.